Molecule: long non-coding RNA, 2541 nt
Filed under: Nicotiana benthamiana
Lineage: Eukaryota; Viridiplantae; Streptophyta; Magnoliopsida; Solanales; Solanaceae
Description: long non-coding RNA (NBEN_LNC040636)
Source: RNAcentral
UCUCUCACUUCCCCUAACCCUUUCUCAGAGAUCACCGCCUUCCAUUGUCCGCCGCGGUUCGGAAAUCGCCUCCGCCGGCAGCGACUCUCCAAAGAGCCCCAAAUUUACACCACAGUAUCCUCUCACCCUCCUCUCUCUAAAUCCCCAAACCCCAUCCCUCAAAUCUCUGCAUAAUUCUCGAAUAUUGAUUUGAAAAUUCGGCCAAAGCAUACCACCUCCAAACUUCACCAAAUUAACACCACAUGAUCUCCUUACACCCCUCAUCCCAAAUCCACAACCCUUAGCCUUCAAAUCAUCCCCGUUUGGUUCAAAUCUCAGAUCGAAUUUUGGCCGAAAAUCAUAAUUUCUUAAUGUUUGGAGAUUUGUUAAUUUUGGGCUAUAAUAGCCUUUAAUCAUGUGUUUUCUCAUGAUAACACAUGAUUAAAGACGGUUUUAAUCCAAGUAAUACCAAGAAGGACGCCAUUGUUCGAGUUUGAGUUAGUAAGUUUUGAGGUAUUUCAUGCUUACCUUCUUUUUGUUUCAUCCGUGAUUUUUAUUUUUUUAUUAUUUUUAUUAUGUUUUACUCAAAAUUUCUUUUUAUUUUUGUGUGGAGUUAGGGUUCCGAUUUAGGGUUCUAAUUCUUUUCAUAAUCAUAUAGUUUGGUUUUAUUUUAUUGUUAGUAAUUUGAUCGCUUGAUUUGAUUUCAACAGUAGGAUUUCAUGUUUAGCUAUUGCUUUGCAUUUUCAGAUUUUGUUAGUUUCAGCUUUAUUUGUAUACCAUUGUAUUAGUUUAAUGGUACAUUUAAUAGUAGAAUUCCUAUUAUUUACAGUUAAAUUUUUGUUUGAUUAGCUAGAUUAGUUAGUUCAGAUUUUAAUCGUUGUUUGGUUAUAGCUGAUUAGUUUCUAGUCUUUUAGUUAGUUAACCAUGGUUAGUUUGGCCAGAGUAAAAGGGGGCUGGGGUUUGGUUUGGCUACAGUAGUAAUUCAGAAUCCAAAUUAAGGGUAUUUUAGGUAUUUUACCUAAAGAAUCUAUUAGUUAGAAACACCUAGAGUCUUCUAGAUGGGGUUCAAAGUAGAAUUUCAAGAAACCUAAUGCAGUAACUUGAGAAAGAAGUGAGAAAAUAAGCUACUAUUUGGGUAAAACUGAAAAAAAAAAAGAGGGACUAAGGGUGUAAAGCUGAAAAUCGGAGAUAACCCUCAAGUUUGCCUAUAAAAGACAUGCAUUCUGCCUUCAUUCACAAGUUUCAGAAUCUAAAAAUUUGAAUUUCAAAUUCAAAAGCCACACUUGAAAUUUAGAGUUAGAAAAUCUAUUCUAGAUCUAGUUCUUCAAAACCAAAAGAAAAAUAACAGAAAACAAAAUAAAAUACUGCUAUUGAGUUUCUUAGAUCAAUUUCAAGUUUAGAAAUUGUUUCAAGUUCCUAGCUUAGUAUAAAGAGGGGAUAGGCUUGAAAGUCCUUGUGCUUGGCUGCUGAAGUUUCACAGUACAUUUCUGGGUUCAAUUUCAAGUUUGUUUGGUGUUACUCAAGUUGUUUUGGUUGGUUGAUUGGUUGAUUUAUUGUUAAAACAGUUCCUGGGUUUUGGGACUGGAAUCCAUUGUUGCUUGCUGUAGUUGUAUUUUUGUUGAUCUGUUGUUGUAGCUGACUGUCAUUUCUCAUCAUUUUAUUCAAUUCCAGGUACACUUUCUGAAUUCGAUCUAAUGUAGCUCUCAAGUUGAAAACGAGAUGAUAUGAAGUUGAUAUGGAAUUCCUUAUAGAUGUUGUUUUGUUUUGUAUGUUGUGAGCUCUUUGAUAUGGCUUAGUGUUCAUGUUAAUUAAUAUUGAACUAUAGAAAAUGAUAUAUUGCAAUUUGGUUUCGAACUCUAGUGGUUUAAGUAGAAUUCUAUAAGUUUAUGCUAAUUUGCACGUUUGAUCCUGUGUAUUGAAUAAUUGUUUACUCUUACACUCAUUACUAGUUGAUUCGGAAGUCUACUAUAAAGUUUUAUCUAAAUUUGAAAUCAGAUGGUAGAUUGGAUUGGUUAGUUAGCACUGUUUUCCUUUCUGCCAAUUAACAAGUGAUAGGACUAAUAAAAAAUAAAAUCAUGUACCCUAUUGGUUGUCAUUGUUGAUCUGUCCAGUUAAAUUGAAAUUUAAGGGUAGCUAACUAGUGAAUUGAAUUAAUGGAUUGUCAAUGUUCAGAGUCCCAAAUUAGAUGAUAAAUUGGUAAAUUACAUACUUCUACACUAAUGAUGAUUUCAUCCAGACUGUCACGUAAUGUUGGAUUGUGAAACUAGGCCGAAAGUCGAGCCUGGUACUUAAUAAGAAGUCCCAGCUGGACCAGUGCAUUUUGUAGCCCUGAAUUGGGCUUGUGUUGAAGCCCAAGGCUAAACAGCCUCUUGUACGAGCUGAAUCUAAAGCCCGGAAUGAUAAGGUCUUGGCAUCCUAUUUGUUUCGGUUUCAUUUUGCAAAUUAGUUUGGGCCUUCAAUUCAGGGCAACAGACUCGACUUAUUAGUUUCAACAACACAAAUUCCCUUUGUUUAAGUUUGGGCUUAAGCAUAUUUAGAUUACAUUGCAUAACGAUUAAUCCA